Caretta caretta (loggerhead turtle) is the source of this 2367-nucleotide non-coding RNA. The record is from RefSeq and is a predicted model, not a curated record. Lineage: Eukaryota; Metazoa; Chordata; Testudines; Cheloniidae.
GUAAUCUAGCCUCGGAGAAAGGGGGUGGCUUUAAUCCCGGUUGAAAGGGGGCCGCGGCCUAUCUAUUGGGAUGAGAGAUGUCUCCCUCCGAAGUUUACAUUCAAAAGCAGGUGCCAAGCAGCAAGGAUUUGUUGCAAUGAGAGGACUCCGAAAUUCCUUUCCUCCACCCAGCUAUCACCACCACCGAAGACUUCCCCUAAUUUUCAUUCCUAGAACUAUACUUCAUACCUUGAAUACAGUGAAUGUCCAGAAUUCUUUCCCAGGUAAGAACACCAAUUAUUCAUCCUUUUGUUGCUGAACUGUAUUACUACUUACCAUUUUCACAAAAUUAUCAGGUUAUUGUAUUUAUUCAAUAGGGUUAAAAAUCAUAGAAGUUACAUAUGGAAAGGACAGACUGGGUCUGUGGAGCACCAUCCAUGGUCCUCCUCUUCAGUAAAUUUAUCGCAUGAGUAUUGACAAGAGUGGACUGUGGGAUUAGGAGGGGAGAGAUGGAUGCAUGUGCUGGUUAGGGCAAGCUGAUCCAGAGUCUUCAGCUGCAGUUGGUCAAGGAAGUAGGUGGAAGGCACAUACUAACUGCAAUAUUUAUCACUAUAUCUGAGCAUGAAGCUACAGCUUAACUUUCAACAACAGAGAAAAUAUUAUAUUCUGAUUAUAUUCUGGAAUUAGUAAUACGUAACUUUGCAGCUGCUAGGGGAUCAGAAGAGCUUUACAAACAAAUGCAAGAAUUUUAAUGGUUAGCUCCACUGGAAUAACCUUUUCCACUUGUGAACAAAAACUCCAGAACUGUAGACUCUUGGCCUUAUGCUGAAUGGAUCAAAAAUAUCGAGACUCAUAGACUUUAAGGUCAGAAGGGACCAUCAUAAUUAUCUAGUCUGACCCACUGCACAUUGCAGGCUACAGAACCUCUCCCCCCCCCAGUCCAUAAUAGACCCAUAACCUCUGGCUGAGUCACUGAAGUCCUCAAAACAUGACUUAAAGUUACAGAAAAGCCACCAUUUACACUAGUUUUAAUUUCCAAGUGACCCAUGCUUCAGAGGAAGGUGAAACCCACACAGAGUUUCUGCCAAUCUGAGCCUGGGGAAAUUCCUUCCCAAGCCUAAAUGUGGUGAUCAGUUAGACCUUGAUCAUAUGGGCAAGACCCACCAGACACCUGGAAAAUAAUUCUUUAUAGUAACUCCAAGCCCUCCGCAUCUGGUGUCCUGUCAUCAGCUGUUGGAGAUUGGCUACAUCGUAGGCAGGCUACAUUGUAGGCAGUCUCAUCAUACCAUCCCCUCCAUAAACUUAUCAAACUCAGUUUUGAAGCCAAUUAGGUUUUGUGCCCCCACUGCUCCCCUUGGAAUAAUUCAGAGACUUUCAAGGUGACAAAAAUAUUCAAAUUAUUUACAGACCUAUGUUCAGUUGAACCUCCAAAAAGCUGAGGCCUAAACUGAGCUAGGACUGAUUGUCUUAUAAUGUUCUGAUCCAAGUAUAGUGUAAGAAACUUUUUGCAGCUUUACUAAUGCCCACUGAUUGGCAGAUAUCCACUUCUAUGAGGGCUGCUAUUUGUGCAGGCUUCCUUUAAGUGUGUAAAUGCCAGAGUAUGAUAUUCUCGCAGAGUAGAGGCUUAGAUUGAGAUUAAUGAAGGGACGUAGGUAUUGUAAUGCUGAGCAUCGCAGCACCUAAUUUUUGGGCGACUAAAAAAAUCACAGGAACAAAACUGCAAUCCAAAAAGUCUAGGCUCCAGGCACAAUGAAUAGGGAGAAAGAAGUGCCUAAGAAGGUGAUCCUCAAAAGCCUGCACUCUAGGUGUGGUGCCACCUAAAAUAGCCAAUGGGAGAUGCAGAUGAGGGGGUAUGAGCGAAGUCCUGCUCCUCUCUUGGAUUUAAGCGCCUUAUCUGGGCUGCACGGAGGCGUCUACCUUUGCUUAGCGAUCCAUGAAUAAGAACCUGACACCUGGAGUCUUUCUUCCAAGGAGCAGAUUUUUGUCUUUCUGAGUAUUUUGUAAAACAUAUGUGAACUUACACAUAUUUAGCUGAUUAAACAAAUUAGUUAGGGCCUUGCGAAUCCUCCCAGGUUAGCAGUUGUGGCCCUCACAGCAAAGGGUUAUGUACAGUUGCUGAAAUAUGUCAUUUCUCCAAAAGCAGGUAGCUCAUUGUUUAACAAGGAAAAUAUUUUGUAAAACUUAUCAGCUGUUAUGGUUUGUAUAAUAGCCAAAUACUAGAAAUGUAACAAUAAAUCUCCAUUUAAAAGUAAGAUUUCUAGACCUUUAGGGCUUUUAAACUAGAUCUGCUAGUAAGGCUUUCUAUUACCAAGUUAUGUUUAGUAGUCUCAGUUGUUAGUUCCCAAAUGAAGUUGGGAGAUAUUGUUCCAAGAAUUUGGGACCUUAUGC